RNAcentral lists this ribosomal RNA (837 nucleotides) under Escherichia coli. RNAcentral describes it as "partial 23S ribosomal RNA". It matches the Rfam family "Bacterial large subunit ribosomal RNA", at positions 614 to 1451 of the family's 2925-position model. Lineage: Bacteria; Pseudomonadati; Pseudomonadota; Gammaproteobacteria; Enterobacterales; Enterobacteriaceae. The record is from RNAcentral.
AAUGGGUCAGCGACUUAUAUUCUGUAGCAAGGUUAACCGAAUAGGGGAGCCGAAGGGAAACCGAGUCUUAACUGGGCGUUAAGUUGCAGGGUAUAGACCCGAAACCCGGUGAUCUAGCCAUGGGCAGGUUGAAGGUUGGGUAACACUAACUGGAGGACCGAACCGACUAAUGUUGAAAAAUUAGCGGAUGACUUGUGGCUGGGGGUGAAAGGCCAAUCAAACCGGGAGAUAGCUGGUUCUCCCCGAAAGCUAUUUAGGUAGCGCCUCGUGAAUUCAUCUCCGGGGGUAGAGCACUGUUUCGGCAAGGGGGUCAUCCCGACUUACCAACCCGAUGCAAACUGCGAAUACCGGAGAAUGUUAUCACGGGAGACACACGGCGGGUGCUAACGUCCGUCGUGAAGAGGGAAACAACCCAGACCGCCAGCUAAGGUCCCAAAGUCAUGGUUAAGUGGGAAACGAUGUGGGAAGGCCCAGACAGCCAGGAUGUUGGCUUAGAAGCAGCCAUCAUUUAAAGAAAGCGUAAUAGCUCACUGGUCGAGUCGGCCUGCGCGGAAGAUGUAACGGGGCUAAACCAUGCACCGAAGCUGCGGCAGCGACACUAUGUGUUGUUGGGUAGGGGAGCGUUCUGUAAGCCUGUGAAGGUGGCCUGUGAGGGUUGCUGGAGGUAUCAGAAGUGCGAAUGCUGACAUAAGUAACGAUAAAGCGGGUGAAAAGCCCGCUCGCCGGAAGACCAAGGGUUCCUGUCCAACGUUAAUCGGGGCAGGGUGAGUCGACCCCUAAGGCGAGGCCGAAAGGCGUAGUCGAUGGGAAACAGGUUAAUAUUCCUGUACUUGGUGU